Molecule: ribosomal RNA, 469 nt
Filed under: uncultured bacterium
Lineage: Bacteria
Description: partial 16S ribosomal RNA
Rfam family: Bacterial small subunit ribosomal RNA
Source: RNAcentral
GACGAACGCUGGCGGCGUGCUUAACACAUGCAAGUCGAACGAUGAUCCCCCGCUUGCGGGGGUUAUUAGUGGCGAACGGGUGGGUAAUACGUGAGUAACCCGCCCUCGACUCUGUGAUAAGCCUGGGAAACCGGGUCUAAUAUUGGAUACUACUUCCUGCCGCACGGUGGGGGGUGGAAAGGGUUUUACGGGUUUUGGAUGGGCUCACGGCCUAUCAGCUUGUUGGUGGAGUAAUGGCUUACCAAGGCGUCGACGGGUAGCCGGCCUGAGAGGGUGACCGGCCACACUGGGGCUGGGGCACGGCCCAGACUCCUACGGGGGGCAAGAGGGGGGAAUAUUGCACAAUGGGCGGGAGCCUGGUGCAACGAAGCCGCGUGGGGGAAGACGGGCUUCGGGUUGUAAACCUGUUUCAGCAGGGAAGGAGCCGCAAGUGACGGUACCUGCAAAAGAAGCGCCGGCUAACUACGUG